Molecule: ribosomal RNA, 465 nt
Filed under: Vreelandella stevensii
Lineage: Bacteria; Pseudomonadati; Pseudomonadota; Gammaproteobacteria; Oceanospirillales; Halomonadaceae
Description: partial 16S ribosomal RNA
Rfam family: Bacterial small subunit ribosomal RNA
Source: RNAcentral
CCUACGGGAGGCUGCAGUGGGGAAUAUUGGGCAAUGGGCGAAAGCCUGAUCCAGCCAUGCCGCGUGUGUGAAGAAGGCCUUCGGGUUGUAAAGCACUUUCAGUGGGGAAGAAAGCCUUGGGGCUAAUACCCUCGAGGAAGGACAUCACCCACAGAAGAAGCACCGGCUAACUCCGUGCCAGCAGCCGCGGUAAUACGGAGGGUGCGAGCGUUAAUCGGAAUUACUGGGCGUAAAGCGCGCGUAGGCGGUCUGAUAAGCCGGUUGUGAAAGCCCCGGGCUCAACCUGGGAACGGCAUCCGGAACUGUCAGGCUAGAGUGCAGGAGAGGAAGGUAGAAUUCCCGGUGUAGCGGUGAAAUGCGUAGAGAUCGGGAGGAAUACCAGUGGCGAAGGCGGCCUUCUGGACUGACACUGACGCUGAGGUGCGAAAGCGUGGGUAGCAAACAGGAUUAGAUACCCGAGUAGUC